RNAcentral lists this long non-coding RNA (1691 nucleotides) under Monodelphis domestica (gray short-tailed opossum). RNAcentral describes it as "lncRNA (ENSMODG00000029956.2)". Lineage: Eukaryota; Metazoa; Chordata; Mammalia; Didelphimorphia; Didelphidae. The record is from RNAcentral.
CAGAGAUGUAGAACACUUCUUCAUGUGCUUUUGAUUUCUUUGACUGAAAACUGCCUAUUCAUGUUCCUUGCCCAUUAAUCAAUUGGAGAAUGGCUUGAUUUUUUGUACAAUUGGUUUAGCUCUUUAUAAAUUUGAGUAAUUAGACCUUUGUCAGAGGUUUUUGUAAUGAAGAUUGUUUCCCAAUUUGUUUGAUGGUAAAGAAGACCUUAAUAUCUUGGAGUGGUUUAGGGUUAUCACUGUGGGCACUGACUAUGUGUUGUUAACAUGCAGACAAAAUGGUCAACAGAAAGUUCUAAUUAAGAGAAUGCCAGACUACAGAGUUGGAAAAUGUCCUGACUUUGCACUUCUAAUAUUUACUGUUUUUUUGUUUGUUUGUUUUUGUUGUUGUUUUUCAGUUGUUUUCAGUCAUGUCUAAAUUGUUGCAAUUCCAUUUGAGAUUUUCUUGGAAAAGAUAUUGGAGUGGUUUGCCAUUUUCUUCUUUGGCUCAUUUUAGAGUUGAGGAAACAAAGCCACUCCAAGACCUUCCCGCCCAGCUGGUGACAUCAGUUACUGAUGGAAUACUGAGACAUCACCUCCAUCUCAGUGGUUAUUUGGAAGCAGAGCUGAAUUCUGACAUGAGGUUAUGCUUAUACGUGGACAUGUAUCCUUUCCAUCCCUGAAUACAAAUUCCCUGAAGGCAGGAAAUUUUUAUUUUUGCUUUUCCAUCCCUCCCAUUUUGCAUAGUGCUUUGUAUAAAGCUUUAUAAAUAUUUGUUGUUGAAGUUGAAUGAUAUCACAGUAAGAGAGCUGCAGAGAAAUAAGAUCUAGGGGAGAAGUUAUAGGGAAUACUAAUUGGGAGAGGAAGAAGAGUAACUCUGGUUCUUCUAGUAGCAACAUAUGGCUGUCAGAGUUGGACUAUGAGGAGAGAGCUGAGUCCUGCAGAAAGACAGCUUUUGAACGAUAGUGCUGGAGAAGACUUUUGAGAGUCCCCCGGACAGCAAGGAGAUCGAAUCAGUCAAUGCUUAAAGAAAUGAAUUCAGAUUAUUCCUUAGAAAGUGAAAUACUAAAGCUGAAGCUGAAAUAUUUGUCAGGUCAUUGAGAAGGGAGGACUCUUAGACAAGACCUUGAGGCUGGGAAAGAUUGAAGGCAGAAGAAUAGGGCAGCAGAGGAAGAGAGAGAUGAGAGUGUCUUGGAAACAACAAAUGUGAGCUUAGACAGAUUUUGGGAGAUAGUAAAAGACAGAAGGGCCUGGGAUUAAAGUUAGAAGGUACUUUAGAAUUCAUUUUGUCCAAAGGCAGCUGGGUGGCUCAGUGGAUUGAGAGCCAGACCUAGAGACAGGAAGUCCUGGGUUCAAAUCUGGCCUCAAACAUUUCCUAACUGGAUGACCUUGGGCAAGUCACUUGACCCCCUAUGCCUAGUCCUUACUGCUCUUCUGCCUGGGAACCAAUACAGAAUAUUGAUUCUGAGACAAAAGGUAAUAGUUUGGGGGGGGGGGGAAGCAUCUUGACUAAUACUCAUAUUUCAGAUGAAAAAUUGGAGACCUUGCCAAUUGAUUGAGAGCUAUUUCAGUUAAAUGGUGGGGUAUAGAAGCACAACCAUAUGGAGUUUGAAGAAUAGUAGGUGUUUUAAAAGUGCAUUUUAAAACAUGACAUGCUAAUGAAAAUAUAGGAGGGCAUCUAAAUGACUAAAAUAAAGUAUCUGCAAAGUUAAACA